GGUGGUAUAUAAAUUCAAUAAAUAAAAUAAAAUAAAAAUAAUAUUGCAACUGAUAAAAUGAAACAUCAACAUGGUUUGCAACUGUUCCAGCACAUACUGAAAUAGGAGUUAAGUUUAGGCUCCCUGCAAGGGGUUGAGCUUCUUAAAGAAGGCUGGACCUUCGGAAAGAGGCUCAAACCGGUCAGGAAAUAAACACAGACCAGACCAGGGAUUUUCAGAAAGCAAAGCGGCUGGAAGCCCGAUCCCUUAUUAAAAUUAUAUGCAGAACUGUUGGCAACAGGGUUCCCACUCGCGUAGCAGGCGACCGAGAGAGAACCCCAAACAAAAGAGAAUUUAAACUUAUAUACCUUUUAAUUUCCAUACAGAACAAUGGUAACAGAAGACGUCAAACAAGGCGUGGUGAGAGGAUUAGAACAGGUGAGUGGGAUGUCGGAAGGGGUUGAAUUGUUUUAAUGGUGGUGUCGUUACUUGCGAUUGUUGGACAUAAAAGGUUUUGGGCUGGUUCCUUUUCCUGUUUCCAGAGGUGUUGGCUAAUGGGUUUGUUUUUCCUUUAUGUACAGGAAAACUUCGGAGCUGCUAGGGGCUGUCCGAUAAGGAGACAGGAUUUUGGGAGUCGCUUAUCCUUGCGGGUGUGUUGCCUUAUUCUGCAUUUUUCCUUUAUUUAAAUAAAACUGUCUGAGGUUGUGUGUGUGUGUCCAUCUGCAGACUCAUUAGGUGGCGCUGGGAAGCAGUUUGACAGUUGUCGGCAGUACAAAGUCAAUUCUACAGUUUAGAUACAUAGUAAUACAAAGUUUAGAUACAUAUACAAAAGCAUAAAACGAAUAAGAAAAUAGGAAGGAAAUUGAUACAAAGAUUGAACUCCAGUUAGCAACAUGUGCAAGGUACGUUUCAUUAGAAGGGCAACGGUUUAAAGGAAAGGAAAUAGGCAUAACAAGCAGGGUUCAUAAAUUUAUUUUGGAAUCCCCUCUCUGGUCAUGGAUUCACACAUACAAACACUCCAAACCCCACACAAGCUUUCAAACAAAUUAUUAUAAUUUGUGUAUUCUAAUUAUGUAUUAUAAUUUGUCGAUUUUCCUUGCCCAGGUACUCAAAGUGUUCUGCCAAGCCGUAGGACAGAGCUUCCCAAACUCUCUUGCGACAUAUUAUUGUGUUGGCUGCAGUGUGUUGUGUGAACGCUCCCCACAUUCCUCCCGGGGCUGGAAAGGGGUUAGUUUAACCUCUGGUUUGCUAGUAAAACUGAACCACUGUGUCGCGAAAUGAUGCAAGUCUGAAAAGUGUGUCACCAACAUGGAAAGUUUGGAAAGCUCUGCUGUGGGAUGUUGCCAUGUGUACUGAUUUAUUUAUUUCAAUGAGAUUUGUAAGCGAGAAAGAGCCUGAAGUUUGCUCAGGGGAACGAAAAAGAGAGAGAGAUCUGCAGAGUUUGGGGAGCAGAAUAUUAAUACGGAAGAACCGAAAAAUAAAUCCACAUAUAAAUACUUGAAAACCAACGAUGCACGGAUCCUCCAGGCACUGAUCAAGGAUGCAAGCUGGUUGAAAUUCGCCUUUGGCAGCCCGUUGACAAAAGCUGUGUGGAUAGUCAUGGACUGAAGCUGGUGCGCUUGUCUGUCCUUCUGUCUGCGUGUCUCUCAUCCUGCCUUUCCGUGUGACUCGGGGUGUGAAAAGGGGUGUGUGUGUGUGUUUCAAAUGUGGCCGGGUGCAUUCAGGUGGGAUGGGGUGGAGGUCACCCAGGAAAUAGUACUUUUGUCCUGGAGUAAAUUUACGGACUAUUUGAAAAGUAUUUGUGAAGAUCAGAUGACGUUUGUAGGUUUGCAAGAAGUUUUGUAAGGAGUAUUAUUGGAAGUAUUGCAAAAAUGGAAAAGGGGAAGGAUGAUUUGUUAAGAGAUGUAAAGGCAAUAUAAAGUUAAGAAGUGGUUAAAACGGUGAAUCAGCAGAGGUGCUGAUGGAAGUCUAAAAAGAUUGUAUAAGUGAUAAGUUUUGUGGUACAUUUUAUAAUUUAUAUGUUCAAAUAAAAAAAAAUUAUUUAUAUA
RNAcentral lists this long non-coding RNA (2027 nucleotides) under Podarcis lilfordi (Lilford's wall lizard). The record is from RNAcentral. Lineage: Eukaryota; Metazoa; Chordata; Lepidosauria; Squamata; Lacertidae.